This 140-nucleotide ribosomal RNA is filed under the name uncultured eukaryote. Its description in RNAcentral is "partial 18S ribosomal RNA". It matches the Rfam family "Eukaryotic small subunit ribosomal RNA", at positions 1299 to 1458 of the family's 1831-position model. The record is from RNAcentral.
UGGUGGAGUGAUUUGUCUACUUAAUUGUGAUAACGAACGAGACCUUAACCUGCUAAAUAGUUGGUCGAAUCUUUCGAUUCGGCAUUGACUUCUUAGAGGGACUUUGCGUGUCUAACGCAAGGAAGUUUGAGGCAAUAACA